Molecule: ribosomal RNA, 254 nt
Filed under: uncultured bacterium
Lineage: Bacteria
Description: partial 16S ribosomal RNA
Rfam family: Bacterial small subunit ribosomal RNA
Source: RNAcentral
UACGUAGGGGGCAAGCGUUGUCCGGAUUUAUUGGGCGUAAAGAGCUCGUAGGCGGUUUGGUAAGUCAGGUGUGAAAUCUCCACGCUCAACGUGGAGGGGCCACCUGAUACUGCCAUGACUGGAGUCCGGUAGAGGAGUGUGGAAUUCCCGGUGUAGCGGUGAAAUGCGCAGAUAUCGGGAGGAACACCGGUGGCGAAGGCGGGUCUCUGGGCAAUAACUGACGCUGAGGAGCGAAAGCGUGGGGAGCGAACAGG